AUUGAACGCUGGCGGCAGGCCUAACACAUGCAAGUCGAGCGGAUGAAGGGAGCUUGCUCCUGGAUUCAGCGGCGGACGGGUGAGUAAUGCCUAGGAAUCUGCCUGGUAGUGGGGGAUAACGUCCGGAAACGGGCGCUAAUACCGCAUACGUCCUGAGGGUGAAAGGGGGGGAUCUUCGGACCUCACGCUAUCAGAUGAGCCUAGGUCGGAUUAGCUAGUUGGUGGGGUAAAGGCCUACCAAGGCGACGAUCCGUAACUGGUCUGAGAGGAUGAUCAGUCACACUGGAACUGAGACACGGUCCAGACUCCUACGGGAGGCAGCAGUGGGGAAUAUUGGACAAUGGGCGAAAGCCUGAUCCAGCCAUGCCGCGUGUGUGAAGAAGGUCUUCGGAUUGUAAAGCACUUUAAGUUGGGAGGAAGGGCAGUAAGUUAAUACCUUGCUGUUUUGACGUUACCAACAGAAUAAGCACCGGCUAACUUCGUG
This 484-nucleotide ribosomal RNA is filed under the name uncultured bacterium. Its description in RNAcentral is "partial 16S ribosomal RNA". It matches the Rfam family "Bacterial small subunit ribosomal RNA", at positions 30 to 507 of the family's 1533-position model. The record is from RNAcentral.